Molecule: ribosomal RNA, 253 nt
Filed under: uncultured bacterium
Lineage: Bacteria
Description: partial 16S ribosomal RNA
Rfam family: Bacterial small subunit ribosomal RNA
Source: RNAcentral
UACGUAGGCAGCGAGCGUUGUUCGGAGUUACUGGGCGUAAAGCGUGCGUAGGCGGUGGUCCAAGUCUGGUGUGAAAUCUCCCGGCUCAACUGGGGAGGGUCACGCGAUACUGAUCGACUCGAAGGCAGGAGAGGGUAGUGGAAUUCCCGGUGUAGUGGUGAAAUGCGUAGAUAUCGGGAGGAACACCAGUGGCGAAGGCGACUACCUGGCCUGUUCUUGACGCUGAGGCGCGAAAGCUAGGGGAGCAAACGGG